Molecule: unclassified non-coding RNA, 406 nt
Filed under: Hevea brasiliensis (rubber tree)
Lineage: Eukaryota; Viridiplantae; Streptophyta; Magnoliopsida; Malpighiales; Euphorbiaceae
Source: RNAcentral
GGUAUAUCUUAUCUUUUGCAUCAGAUUUAAUGUAGUUUCUUAACCACAUGCAUGAGUUUAUACACGUGUACAGUUACCCAAGCAUUUGGAUGUUUUGAUAUUGGCUGUUGUACACCAUAAGAAAAUGAAAAUGCUGGGUAAGAUUUAAGAUGUCUUUAGUAGUUCAUAACCAGAAAAUUAGGUUGAUUAUUUAAAUAAAAUGAAGUUAUAUCCUUUGUAACUUUUGCAGCACUUAUGUUCUGAGUGUUUAAAUCUAAUGCUGCUAAAUAGGAAAAGGAUGGACUUGCCAAUGAUAUUAUUGGUGAACUUGUGCGUUCUUAAUGAUGUGAGUGACAGGUUUAAUUCUUGUUCAUCUGUUUUUUUCUUAUUAUUUAUGAUUUGGGGUUUCUCAAAUAUCAGCUGCUGC